Gallus gallus (chicken) is the source of this 1855-nucleotide long non-coding RNA. RefSeq lists it as uncharacterized. The transcript has 2 exons. Lineage: Eukaryota; Metazoa; Chordata; Aves; Galliformes; Phasianidae. The record is from RefSeq and is a predicted model, not a curated record.
GAUACUGACAGGCCACCCUCACGUCUUCCCAGAGCCUUCUCUCCUCCAGAAUGAACAGCCCCAGCUCUCUCAGCCCAUCCUCAAAGGAGAGAUGUUCCACCCCUUGGAUCAUUUUUUUGUGGACCUCCUAUGGUUGUGCCUUAUUUUAUGGCAACAAUCAAGAAAAAAUUCUGAGCAAUAAGGAAAAGCAGAAAAAUAUACAACGUGUGAGGAAAGGAAGUUGUAAAGAGCAAAGAAAAAGUGUUCAUAUAAAAAUAUAUUGCUGAAAAAUGCGGUUUUGAGAUGAAUCAGUGAAGAUCAUUGUCCAGUUUUGUUGGUAUGUUCUGGAAGGCAAGACUUCUCACUGCUGUCUCCAUCUGCUCCAACCAAGACAGAUUUCCAAACAUAAGUGAUUCAGCUCACAUACCUUCCCACUCCUUCUGACAAGACAUUCACUUCCAUUAGAUGGUAUCUCUGCUAGCUGAAGUUGUUGCCAAAUGAACCCUGACACCAUAACAAACUACUUCUGUGAGAAAAAACAGUGGAUUGUCUAGGUUGACCAUAACAUUACAGUGCUGUAAUACCCCAAUCAAAGGACUUUUAUUGCUUCCCAUGGCACAGUGACCUUUCUGCGUUUGGACCAUGUAAUUAUACAUUCAAAAUGAACUGGCAACUUUUCAGUUACUGAAUCAAUUAAAAUAUAAAUGCUUACCUUUCUAAGAUUUUGCAGAGAUGUAUUUAUAUACUUAAAUGUGAAUGAACUUCAUUCAGUUGGGUGUUUUUUCUUAUAAUUUUUAAUGUUCCUUCCUGUCCUCCCUUCCUUGCCUUCUUUUGUCAGUGGUGUUUCACUUAUCUAUUUUCUUUGGUCUUCGAAGUCUAAACAGAUAUUUGAUGUGAGGAACCCCUGCUGUGUAAAAUGGCCUGGAAUUCCCAAAGUCCCAUAUUAUGAGUUUGUUUGCUUUGAGUUUGUGUAAAACUUUGGAUAGAGAGCCUUUGAAAGAAAUCCCCUCAAAAAGCAGUCAUGUAAAACUAUUUUUAUUGAAAAUACAUCUACAAAGUAAUGUUUCUCAAUCCACUCUGUAUGCUUACCAAUGCAGAGCCAGUGAGGGCUGAGCAAGGGAAUCUUUCUAUAAUACCUGAUUUCCAUAAGAAACAAAGUUAGUAUAAAAAAAGAUCGCAUAUUUUGUGAAACAAUUCAUUUUUCUCAGCUGAUGUCAUAGGAAGACAGCCAUUUACAUUAUGUCUUUGCAAUGUAUUUCCAAACAGAAUCUUAACAAAAAUUAAAUCGUUAUGCUGUACAUUCUACAGUUAAAAUUUAUACACACAUUUUGAAUACAGUAUCUAUAUAAAAAUAUCUCUAAUUACACAUAUCAGAAAAUGUCUAUCUAUAUCCUAGAUUUGCAUUCUGUUAGCAAAAACGUAAAAGUCACACUUGCUUUCUUUCAGUGAGAGAUUAAUACAAGAGCUUUGUAGGUUUGACCACUCAAUGCUCUGAGUUAAACCCUGCUCACUUCAAUCACUGAAGAGUUCCUGCUCCUACUGUCUGGACUAAUCAACUGGAGAAGAUGGGCAGGAGUUUUCAGUCCUAAACAAAACAGUCUUGCCUUGUUGCUCUAAACAUGGGAAAAAAUUUACCUUCUAUCAGGAUGUUGACAUUUUCAUUACGGUGAAAUACACCACAUUUAUGUUCUCUUAAAGACAAAAGCAGCAUACUGAAUAUUUUUUGUGUUGCACUUGGGGCAUUACAAGGGAAUCCUUCAUUCAUAUAGUCAGAUUUUAUUUUGUUGGGCAAGGAAGAAAGAAGAAAAAUGAACAUUUAAAUAAAAACAAUCACUCAAUAUUACUCUGCCUUCUGAUUAAUAUUUCUUCAUUUCCC